CAGGCUCAGCUGUUGUACAGUUUCUCCCUACCGACCAUCCGACGCACAGACAGCAGCCAAAAAGCGAGAGAAAACUAGUUAACUAUCACCUUGUUUGUGUUUUAAGUAUAAAGUGUGUGUGCUUUCUCCAAAAACUCCCCCCACCACCACCACCUCUCCUCCUCCUACCAUGUACUGCAUCUAAUUGGAAACACUUCUGAGAUCCAGCAGCUUGCUGACAAACCUAAAAACAACAACCAAUGCACCGACACCCAGCAUGCACUUCAUCACCAUCACGGACAGAGCUCCAGCCUGCCUCCCUGGUUCCCACUGAUCCAUCAUGCUGUCUGAUUGCCAGGAGAAAACCCAUUACUCUGAAACAACACAACACAUUAGCAGUGAGCUGCAGGUGUCUCUUCUCUGUGUUGUGCUCAUUCCUCACCAUCCGUGGAUGCAGAUGUCAUGUUUACAGUGCCCCGCCAGUCAAAUUGCAGAACAGUGGAGCUGAGGCGGAGGUCUCCCACCUGAAAUAUACUCUCAUAUUUGGAUAAACCCAUCAAUUGCUUCAUUUUGUUGGUUGACUGCACAUUAAAGUCUGUUUAAGAGUGUUGAGCUGCAUACUGUGUGAUGAGACAAUGUUUCUAUCUUUCUCACUCUGACUAGUGAUUUAUUAAUGCAGGUCUGUAUGCAGCUAUGCCCCUGCAGACUGCUUCUGUCCCUCAGGCAAAAAGCUCACAGUUGCCCCCUGGUGGUAAUUAAGCAAGAAGUAAGAUUUGGCCAAUAUUUCCUCAAGUCUCCUGACACCAUCCCCAAAAGGGAUAAAUGAUUUUUCAAUUUUUUAAAUCAAGUAGGUCUCCAAAUAUGUCCUUAAGUUAAAUAGGUGGAAGGAUGUAAUGAGCAGGAGGCAAGAGAGGGAAGCCUAAAAAAACCCAAGAUUUUGUGUGUAUCCCUGCUUUAUGAAUGGCAUUUUCACUGCUGGUUCACCCCAGUGGGUAAUUAUCUACAUCCCUCAUAAUUUAAUGUUUUUUUGUGGGUGUUUCCAUGGAGACAGUUAUACUACUCAACCUGUGGGCAGCAUGUAAACAAAUAAAAUAUAUAUAUACAUGUUCAACAAGUUUGUGUAAUGAAUAAAAGCUUUAUUCAAACAUGAAAUAAAAAAAUAGUGACAAAAAAAAAAA
Long non-coding RNA from Dicentrarchus labrax (European seabass), 1157 nucleotides. RefSeq lists it as uncharacterized. The record is from RefSeq and is a predicted model, not a curated record. The transcript has 3 exons. NCBI's taxonomy places the organism in Eukaryota, Metazoa, Chordata, Actinopteri, Moronidae.